This 357-nucleotide ribosomal RNA is filed under the name Triticum aestivum (bread wheat). RNAcentral's name for it is "partial small subunit ribosomal RNA". The record is from RNAcentral. Lineage: Eukaryota; Viridiplantae; Streptophyta; Magnoliopsida; Poales; Poaceae.
CUUUGCCCCCUUUGCCGUUGCGAGGACGAGACAACGCACCACCUCCUCUUCACUUGCCGCUACUCCAUUCACAUUUGGGGAAUGAUUAAGGAUUGGCUCGGUAUCGAUGACUUCAACCCUUCAGAGUGGGCAACUUUCAGUGAUGUUCAAUCUUGGUGGGAGCAUCUUUCCCUCGCCCAUGGGAGUAGGAGGAAGGCCAUGUCGUCGCUUAUCAUGCUCGUGUCAAUGGCAAUUUGGAACGAAUGCAACGUGAGGGUUUUCAAGCAAACUAGUGCCCUCCCUUUGAUAAUAUUCGCUCGCAUCAAGUUGGAGGCCAAAAUUUUUCUCGAGAGGUUUUUGGUCCGUUCGCACGUAUAA